Molecule: long non-coding RNA, 389 nt
Organism: Quercus robur (English oak)
Lineage: Eukaryota; Viridiplantae; Streptophyta; Magnoliopsida; Fagales; Fagaceae
Exons: 2
Source: RefSeq, a predicted model, not a curated record
AUCAAGAAUCACCUACCAAAUAAAUCUUACUUAAAUUAGUAAAUCUACUUAAUAUUAUAUAUAUGAUCAUAACAUCACUCAUAAAAAUUUUUAAGUGUAUUGAAGGAAAACACUUGUCUGGAAUCCACUUAGGUCCAAUUCUCUGGUUUCUAUACAGAGCAAACCUCCUCUGGUGGACAUUGGAGAAAUAGAUAGACCUAUUAGGGCCAAGGGGCAUUUAUACAAUGCUGUUAGGUCCAAUUAUAACCAGUGUCACACUAGAUGCAUCCAUAAUAUCCUGUCAACAUAUCAUACAUGUCGGAACUAUGUAAUGGGACACUUAUGUUGUAUGUAGAAUCAAGCAGAAGGUAGUAUUUCCCAUUUUAUCAUUUGAAACUUAAAAAUAAAAA